GAUACGGCCAUAUCUACUGAAAACCACCGGAACCCAUCAGAACUCCGAAGUUAAACCAGUAUGAGCUUAAUCAGUACUAAGAAGGGAGA
RNAcentral lists this ribosomal RNA (89 nucleotides) under Nosema bombycis. The record is from RNAcentral. Lineage: Eukaryota; Fungi; Microsporidia; Nosematidae.